GAUGAACGCUGGCGGCGUGCUUAACACAUGCAAGUCGAACGAGAAGUGAAGACGGAAACCUUCGGGCGGAAGGCUUUAUUUCGAGUGGCGGCCGGGUGAGUAACGCGUGGGUAACCUGCCUCAUACAGGGGGAUAACAGUUGGAAACGACUGUUAAUACCGCAUAAGACCACAGCACCGCAUGGUGCGGGGGUAAAAACUCCGGUGGUAUGAGAUGGACCCGCGUUCGAUUAGCCAGUUGGCGGGGUAACGGCCCACCAAAGCGACGAUCGAUAGCCGAUCUGAGAGGAUGACCGGCCACAUUGGGACUGAGACACGGCCCAAACUCCUACGGGAGGCAGCAGUGGGGAAUAUUGCACAAUGGGGGAAACCCUGAUGCAGCGACGCCGCGUGAGUGAAGAAGUAUUUCGGUAUGUAAAGCUCUAUCAGCAGGGAAGAAAAUGACGGUACCUGAGUAAGAAGCCCCGGCUAACUACGUG
This 478-nucleotide ribosomal RNA is filed under the name uncultured bacterium. Its description in RNAcentral is "partial 16S ribosomal RNA". It matches the Rfam family "Bacterial small subunit ribosomal RNA", at positions 28 to 507 of the family's 1533-position model. The record is from RNAcentral.